GGCUUGACGGCCUCUCCGAACGCUGUGCUCCAGUUGUCCUAAAUAUUUUGGUUGGAGACCUGAAAGGCUUCAGUCAGCCCUGGAAAUUAGAUCACAUUUGAUUGAACUUUUGAAAACACCACAUAUGCGAAUCAUAAACACAGGAGAAAAGCAGAAUCAGCUGUUGAAGUGCGAGUAUGAGCACGUCACCCAGUAGUCUCCGAACACCUCCAGUUCCCCGUGUUCCAGAACAUCCAUCCAAGAGAAGAACGGGCUUUACAUGGAAGGUCAGUCUUCCAUGCAUACAGCCACUACUGAGCAAAGCAGCUCGGAAGGGAAGGAUGGAGAAGGGCAUUUUAACAAACAUACUUACCGGGGGUUGGUUAGAGAAGAGGCACAGCAGCAGAAAAAGAAAUAAAAAGUCUAUGAACCUUCAGUUGGUACUGUUUCACUGCUCUGCUCUUGUUGAUGGAUUCUGCAUUUCAUUGUCUUCGCCUAUACCAGAUAUGACUGAUGUCAAUAGUCAGUAUCCCCAGCUUCGGAUAUUUGCUGACGUCAAGUGGCUAAUGGCUCCCUUUAGCUGAAUUACAAUAGAAACUCUACCAGGCUAAAUAACAAUUCUUUUGGCGAUUUUUAUAUGCAGCCACACUUGAGAGCAGCCAGUCUAGACUUCUAGUUUGAGAAUAUUUGAAAAUACUCAGCCGCAGCAGAGAAUCAUCUCUCCCAACCUAUGGAGCGUAAGGAACGCGUCGAUGUACCUUCUGGCUUGACACACUCCUCUCCAAGAAUCCAGGUUUUGUGACACAGAACUACAUUUUCCUCCCAGAGUCAGGCUUGUCCCCUAGCUGUGCAAUAAACAGUAGUUACAUAAUUUUAGUUAAGGGCUGUCAAUGUUCAAACUUAGUUUUCGAAAAAAAAUUUAGAAAACCAUAAUCACAAGAGAAUUUAAACACUGAAACUUUGGACAAUACAGAAAGAAUGAUUCACCUGAUGGGAAACAUGAUGAGUAGAGAAGUGGAAACAAACAAAGGAUAUUAGGAAUAAAGCAGAUGUGUUACAUAAUGCUUUAGAGGAUGAAGGAGCUAGAAACAGUUAUAAAUACAUACCUAUUAUUAAGAUACAGGAUGUAGCAAACUAAAUUUCUUGAAAAAUAUAAAGGUAAAUGAUACUACAUAAAGUAAAUUAAGAAAUAGAGGCAUAGACAUGAUUUUGAGGAAUAAGAGACCUCAUCCAAGGGGCCAUCUUCUAAGGCAGCUCUGGAGUGCAGCAUAGGAAAGUGAAUUUUA
RNAcentral lists this long non-coding RNA (1265 nucleotides) under Rattus norvegicus (Norway rat). RNAcentral's name for it is "long non-coding RNA NONRATT023235". The record is from RNAcentral. Lineage: Eukaryota; Metazoa; Chordata; Mammalia; Rodentia; Muridae.